UGGGGAAUUUUGGACAAUGGGCGAAAGCCUGAUCCAGCAAUGCCGCGUGUGUGAAGAAGGCCUUCGGGUUGUAAAGCACUUUUUUCCGGAAAGAAAUGGCUCUGGUUAAUACCUGGGGUCGAUGACGGUACCGGAAGAAUAAGGACCGGCUAACUACGUGCCAGCAGCCGCGGUAAUACGUAGGGUCCAAGCGUUAAUCGGAAUUACUGGGCGUAAAGCGUGCGCAGGCGGUUGUGCAAGACCGAUGUGAAAUCCCCGAGCUUAACUUGGGAAUUGCAUUGGUGACUGCACGGCUAGAGUGUGUCAGAGGGGGGUAGAAUUCCACGUGUAGCAGUGAAAUGCGUAGAGAUGUGGAGGAAUACCGAUGGCGAAGGCAGCCCCCUGGGAUAACACUGACGCUCAUGCACGAAAGCGUGGGGAGCAAACAGG
This 429-nucleotide ribosomal RNA is filed under the name bacterium. Its description in RNAcentral is "partial 16S ribosomal RNA". It matches the Rfam family "Bacterial small subunit ribosomal RNA", at positions 355 to 776 of the family's 1533-position model. RNAcentral also lists the same sequence under 1 other name. The record is from RNAcentral.